CCUACGGGCGGCAGCAGUGAGGAAUAUUGGUCAAUGGGCGGGAGCCUGAACCAGCCAAGUCGCGUGAGGGAAGACGGUCCUAUGGAUUGUAAACCUCUUUAGUCGGGGAGCAAUGCCGCGUAUGCGUGCCCGGAGGGAGAGUACCCGCAGAAUAAGCAUCGGCUAACUCCGUGCCAGCAGCCGCGGUAAUACGGAGGAUGCGAGCGUUAUCCGGAUUUAUGGGGUUUAACGGGUGCGUAGGCGGAUAUUUAAGUCAGCGGUAAAAUGUCCGGGCUCAACCGCGGCGGGCCGUUGAAACUGGGGAUCUUGAGUGGGCGAGAGGUAUGCGGAAUGCGUGGUGUAGCGGUGAAAUGCAUAGAUAUCACGCAGAACUCCGAUUGCGAAGGCAGCAUACCGGCGCCCGACUGACGCUGAGGCACGAAAGCGUGGGGAUCGAACAGGAUUAGAUACCCUUGUAGUC
This 460-nucleotide ribosomal RNA is filed under the name uncultured bacterium. Its description in RNAcentral is "partial 16S ribosomal RNA". It matches the Rfam family "Bacterial small subunit ribosomal RNA", at positions 338 to 795 of the family's 1533-position model. The record is from RNAcentral.